RNAcentral lists this ribosomal RNA (329 nucleotides) under uncultured bacterium. RNAcentral's name for it is "bacterial SSU rRNA". It matches the Rfam family "Bacterial small subunit ribosomal RNA", at positions 32 to 334 of the family's 1533-position model. The record is from RNAcentral.
AGGACGACGCUGGCGGCGUGCCUAAUACAUGCAAGUCGAACGCCUCUUUUCCCACCGGAGCUUGCUCCACCGGGAAAAGAGGAGUGGCGAACGGGUGAGUAACACGUGGGUAACCUGCCCAUCAGAAGGGGAUAACACUUGGAAACAGGUGCUAAUACCGUAUAACAAUCGAAACCGCAUGGUUUCGUUUUGAAAGGCGCUUUACGGUGCCGCUGAUGGAUGGACCCGCGGUGCAUUAGCUAGUUGGUGAGGUAACGGCUCACCAAGGCCACGAUGCAUAGCCGACCUGAGAGGGUGAUCGGCCACAUUGGGACUGAGACACGGCCCAA